GUUAGGAAAAACUUAGCUUACCUAAUCCAAUCAAACCCCGGACAGCAGGCCUCCCCUUGAGAACCAAACUAGGGCUAAGUAAGCUAAGUGGAAAAACCUGAUGGAAAAUACAAACACCAAGAACUGAAGCCACAGGACAAAGAACAACAUUGUCCAAUUGCAAUUUAACCAAAACUCAAAAUACUUGUAGCUGGGCUUUCUGAGCAAGACUGAAACAUGGCAACAACACUAAAAAAGACUAAGCACAUUUUAUCACUAAAGAAGACCCAUAACAACACUGAUGACAAGCAAAUCAAUAAUAGCAUCAACACAAAGGCAACCCAAAAUACUUUGAUAACGAGAAAACCAACAACAGCAUCAACACAG
Molecule: unclassified non-coding RNA, 366 nt
Filed under: Hevea brasiliensis (rubber tree)
Lineage: Eukaryota; Viridiplantae; Streptophyta; Magnoliopsida; Malpighiales; Euphorbiaceae
Source: RNAcentral